GAUGAACGCUGGCGGCGUGCCUAAUACAUGCGAGUCGAGCGAACAGACGAGGAGCUUACUCCUCUGACGUUAGCGGCGGACGGGUGAGUAACACGUGGAUAACCUACCUAUAAGACUGGGAUAACUUCGGGAAACCGGAGCUAAUACCGGAUAACAUGUUGAACCGCAUGGUUCAACAGUGAAAGACGGUCUUGCUGUCACUUAUAGAUGGAUCCGCGUCGCAUUAGCUAGUUGGUAAGGUAACGGCUUACCAAGGCAACGAUGCGUAGCCGACCUGAGAGGGUGAUCGGCCACACUGGAACUGAGACACGGUCCAGACUCCUACGGGAGGCAGCAGUAGGGAAUCUUCCGCAAUGGGCGAAAGCCUGACGGAGCAACGCCGCGUGAGUGAAGAAGGUCUUCGGAUCGUAAAACUCUGUUAUUAGGGAAGAACAAAUGUGUAAGUAACUAUGCACGUCUUGACGGUACCUAAUCAGAAAGCCACGGCUAACUACGUG
Molecule: ribosomal RNA, 497 nt
Filed under: uncultured bacterium
Lineage: Bacteria
Description: partial 16S ribosomal RNA
Rfam family: Bacterial small subunit ribosomal RNA
Source: RNAcentral